Molecule: unclassified non-coding RNA, 200 nt
Filed under: soil metagenome
Description: partial contains internal transcribed spacer 2 and large subunit ribosomal RNA
Source: RNAcentral
AGCGUCAUUACACCACUCAAGCCUGGCUUGCAAUUGGGCGCCGCGGCCUCCCCCGCGCGCCCUCAUGUCUCCGGCUGAGCCGUCCGUCUCGAAGCGUUGUGGCUUUCACGAGUUUCGCUUGCGAGAUCGGCGCGGUUCGUCGCCGUUAAACCUCCAUCAAGGUUGACCUCGGAUCAGGUAGGGAUACCCGCUGAACUUAA